This 432-nucleotide ribosomal RNA is filed under the name Pestalotiopsis sp. E7516b. RNAcentral's name for it is "eukaryotic LSU rRNA". The stretch from base 110 to 263 matches the Rfam family "5.8S ribosomal RNA". Lineage: Eukaryota; Fungi; Ascomycota; Sordariomycetes; Amphisphaeriales; Sporocadaceae. The record is from RNAcentral.
ACCUUUUGUUGCCUCGGCAGAAGUUAUAGGUCUUCUUAUAGCUGCUGCCGGUGGACCAUUAAACUCUUGUUAUUUUAUGUAAUCUGAGCGUCUUAUUUUAAUAAGUCAAAACUUUCAACAACGGAUCUCUUGGUUCUGGCAUCGAUGAAGAACGCAGCGAAAUGCGAUAAGUAAUGUGAAUUGCAGAAUUCAGUGAAUCAUCGAAUCUUUGAACGCACAUUGCGCCCAUUAGUAUUCUAGUGGGCAUGCCUGUUCGAGCGUCAUUUCAACCCUUAAGCCUAGCUUAGUGUUGGGAAUCUACUUCUCUUAGGAGUUGUAGUUCCUGAAAUACAACGGCGGAUUUGUAGUAUCCUCUGAGCGUAGUAAUUUUUUUCUCGCUUUUGUUAGGUGCUAUAACUCCCAGCCGCUAAACCCCCAAUUUUUUGUGGUUGA